AUCCAGCUGACAAGUCCCAAAUAAGACGAAACGAGCGUUCUGCAU
RNAcentral lists this non-coding RNA (45 nucleotides) under Schistosoma mattheei. The record is from RNAcentral. Lineage: Eukaryota; Metazoa; Platyhelminthes; Trematoda; Strigeidida; Schistosomatidae.